CCAAAUACAAAUUAUUAGAAACAAAUUCUCAUAUUGAACCAUCAAGUGAUAAUUAAUAAAACAAAAAUAUAGCUAUGCUUUUUUUAAGAGACAAAUUAAAUUAUGAUUAAAAAGUAUUAGCACAAUUCAUGCUAGCAUAUGAAGAAGUAUAGACACAUUAUAACCACAAAUUGCAUUCAUACGGCUACAAAUCAAGCAGCAAAAACAACAUAAUUACAAAACAGAUCUUACACAUAAAUAGCAAAAAAAAUAACAAUUAUAAACAUUUUUCUUUUGCCACACAACUCCAAGCAGGGAGACAAUUUAUCUGCCAAGAUAAGCAACACCUUGACAUGCAUUUGCAACCAAAUAAGCUAAUCAACAUGCACCAAAAUGUAAAUCAUGAAUUUAUCUGCCAAGAUAAGCAACACCUUGACAUGCAUUUGCAACCAAAUAAGCUAAUCAACAUGCACCAAAAUGUAAAUCAUGUCAUUUGAAUAACUAAGUGAUGGCAUAUUUUCUUUAAAAACAAAGGCAAGAUCUAUGUUCCAAGUAAAUCUUUUCAAAACAAAAUAUCAUGAAUAAAAAGGUACAAUAUAAAGAAUGUGAAAAUUACCACUGCCGGCGGAAGAACCUGGAGAGAGUAAGCCCGGCUAUUAUGUUAUUAUUUUAGAGUUGUUGUAAAGAAACUUGAGCAUAGUCAUGUAGUUGUUACCGUCGCCGUAAACAUGACCGAACCGAAAUAAAUCUUCCCCUAAACUUGCAAGAACAAACUCGGCGAAGUGACUCAACCUCGUCAGUAUGGUUGCUUGAAGGUUGACGUCGUGGAGCAUGGUUACUGAGUUUAUUCAUACGGCGAUGUCGUGGUAUGGUGAAGGAAGUGGAAUACAUCGACGAAAUCUUAUGUUAGAUGCGGUGGCCGGUCAUGUGUGUUUGACAAGUAGAUGAUGGUGGACAUGAAGGUUGUUUCGGGGUGAGUCGGAAGUGAAU
RNAcentral lists this long non-coding RNA (969 nucleotides) under Lathyrus oleraceus (garden pea). RNAcentral's name for it is "Pisum sativum (pea) long non-coding RNA (PSAT_LNC038747)". The record is from RNAcentral. Lineage: Eukaryota; Viridiplantae; Streptophyta; Magnoliopsida; Fabales; Fabaceae.